GAAGGACAAGCUUCUCAAAUCGCACCACCGACCAUUCUAGAGCCAAUAGGAAAACGGAAAGGCCGCAAGACCCGCCCGCAGCCCCAGUGCCCCCCGCCACGACCCCUAGGCGCCGUAGCCACCUGUCGCCGCCGGAGAACCUGAUCAUCGCAGUUGUAGAAAUAAAUGCUGUCCAAAAGACUUCCAACUAACCCAUCAUAUUCCUGCUCACGCUAGAUGCACAGCAUACAUGAAUCACUGGCUUUCAGGUUUUCCCACCUUCCUGAAAGAAUGACUCACCAGCCCUUAAGAGCAAGAAGGGAGACUGAGAAGUCCUUUAUUCAUUAGACUGAAAUACUGCCUCGGCCAAGGGGACCCUAUCACCACAGGUGACCUCCAGCAGUCUUUCUCUAGCCCAGAACCAUUAGGACUCACUGAAAAAGCCUUCUAGGGUGGCUUCAUCCUGCCCACUGGAGGCCCUGACACCUGCUUUCCCACCAUGGGUGUGGCCAGAUCUCAGGCUCUCCAGCAGGCAGCCUGCGUGUCCCCCAGAAUGCUCUGACUGGGUACUUUGUCACUUUCCAUCAGUGACAAAGCAGACUGAAGGGUCCUGACGACGUGGGACAAGAUGGGUAAGGGGUGUGAGCACAUUGGUGAGUCCUCCUACUGCAGGUGUCUUUCUUCCCUGCACCGACUCCACCUGUGUGUCCUUAUACCCUGGCCUGCCUACCUGAGCCACUUAUCUCAAGGACAGGAGGGUAGGAUUAAGGGAAUGUGGGUCCUCUCCUAAGGACAAUUUUUUUUUUGUUUUUUGAGACAGGGUCCCCACUAU
Fukomys damarensis (Damara mole-rat) is the source of this 811-nucleotide long non-coding RNA. RefSeq lists it as uncharacterized. NCBI's taxonomy places the organism in Eukaryota, Metazoa, Chordata, Mammalia, Rodentia, Bathyergidae. The transcript is spliced from 3 exons. The record is from RefSeq and is a predicted model, not a curated record.